CUCAGGGACUGAAACGUGGGCACAGGAUCUUCCCACAUCACGGACUGAGGAUGCAGUCAUAACAAACACUGACAAUGAAGAGAUUGAGGCCUUGAAAAAUACUGGAGCCAUGCCCACUCCCCCUGAGAUUUGUGCUUCCACUGUGGAUUUUUUCCUGGAGAGUGCUGUUCCUUAUCAGCAGCAGGUGCCAGCCAUGGUGAAGAACAUCCACCAGAGUCUCAUGUCCCACGUCACUGUGGAUGCCAGGCUGCACAGCGACAUUGUGAGGCUGGCUGAGGAACACCCUGCAGACGUGGCGCUGACCCUCCUGCACUGUGCCCCAACGUGUGACAGAGCUGCUGCAAUGAUGUGGAGAGCCAUAGGCACAUCAGGACCAACAAUGGAGAAGGUGCUGGCAACACUGCUCUGUGUGAUGGAGCAUUGGCCUGUGCACAGCACAUGCACCUCCGAUGGGGACAACAAG
Molecule: long non-coding RNA, 463 nt
Organism: Passer domesticus (house sparrow)
Lineage: Eukaryota; Metazoa; Chordata; Aves; Passeriformes; Passeridae
Exons: 3
Source: RefSeq, a predicted model, not a curated record